GAUGAACGCUGGCGGCGUGCCUAAUACAUGCAAGUCGAGCGAACGUACGAGAAGCUUGCUUCUCUGAUGUUAGCGGCGGACGGGUGAGUAACACGUGGAUAACCUACCUAUAAGACUGGUAUAACUUCGGGAAACCUGAGCUAAUACCGGAUAAUAUUUUGAACCGCAUGGUUCACAAGUGAAAGACGGUCUUUCUGUCACUUAUAGAUUGAUCCGCGCUGCAUUAGCUAGUUGGUAAGGUAACGGCUUACCAAGGCAACGAUGCAUAGCCGACCUGAGAGGGAGAACGGCCAGACUGGAAGUGAGACAGGGCACAGACACCGAGGGGAGGAAGCAGUAGGGAAUCUUCCGCAAUGGGGGAAAGCCGGACGGAGCAAAGCGGCGUGAGGGAUGAAGGUCUUAGGAUCGGAAAACUAUGAUAGUAGGGAAGAACAUAUGUGUAAGUAACGGUGAACAUCUUGACGGUACCUAAUCAGAAAGCCACGGCUAACUACGUG
RNAcentral lists this ribosomal RNA (497 nucleotides) under uncultured bacterium. Its description in RNAcentral is "partial 16S ribosomal RNA". It matches the Rfam family "Bacterial small subunit ribosomal RNA", at positions 28 to 507 of the family's 1533-position model. The record is from RNAcentral.